CACGAAACUAUGUGAGCUAAUUUUGGUGAACCGUCAUGUCACAUAAUGACGAGAUGAAAGAAAAUUAGGGGUGAUAGGCUUUACAAACAUAGUGAUAUCUUGAUUUUCUUAAAAUGUAUAAGUACACUCACAUAUUUAAAGCUACAAGGUUUUAAAUCGUAAUUAAAUUUGAUUUAUAAUUGGUAAGAUAUAAAAAUCUAUACACUUAUUUACAUAAUAUACAAAUCAUAGUGAUUGUUUAUUUUAGAGAAAUGUAUAAUAAUUUCAAUAAUAUUAAUAAUGUCACUAUAAGUAUUUAGGAGGUGUUAAUAGUGAACUCGGCAAUAAGUUUUCAACUGUUUACCAAAAACAUAGCUGCGUGUAAGUACACGCAGUAUUUUCUGCUCAAUGAAUAUUAAAUAGCCGCAGUACCUUGACUGUGCAAAGGUAGCGUAAUCAUUUGUCUUUUAAUUGGAGUCAUGUAUGAACGAAUAUAUGGGGGACUUUCUUUACCAUUAACAACAAGGGAAAUUGCUUAAUGAGUGAAAAUUCUCAUAACUAAACAAUAGACGAGAAGACCCUAGAAAUUUAUGUUAACUUUUUGUUGGGGCAACAUAGUAACAAUUAACUUACUAUAUGUAUAUGAAAUUGAUUUGAUAAAUUAAAUUACUCUAGGGAUAACAGCAUAAUAUUGAAAUGUUUGUGACCUCGAUGUUGGAUUAGGGAGUUAUAGUUUAGAA
This 719-nucleotide ribosomal RNA is filed under the name Setobaudinia spina. RNAcentral describes it as "partial 16S ribosomal RNA". The stretch from base 320 to 485 matches the Rfam family "Archaeal large subunit ribosomal RNA", at positions 1876 to 2091 of the family's 2987-position model. Lineage: Eukaryota; Metazoa; Mollusca; Gastropoda; Stylommatophora; Camaenidae. The record is from RNAcentral.